RNAcentral lists this ribosomal RNA (348 nucleotides) under Glossina morsitans. RNAcentral describes it as "eukaryotic LSU rRNA". The record is from RNAcentral. Lineage: Eukaryota; Metazoa; Arthropoda; Insecta; Diptera; Glossinidae.
CCCGAUGAACCCGAAUAUCCAUUAUGGAAAAUUCAUCAUUAUGAAUUAUGAUAUUUAAUAAAUAUUAUAUUAAUGGUGUGCAUUUUUUCCAUAUAAGGACAUUGUAAUGUAAUCUAUUAAUAUUAAAAUUUAUCAUAAAGUCAUUGGCUUUAAAGUUUAUUCAAAUUAUUAUGCUUGCAUUUUAACAUAGAAUAAAUGCUUUUGAUUUGAUAGAUUGUUGAUAGAUUUAUAUUUAUAUAGUGCUUAAAUAUAUUUAUAUAUUUUAUAAUAGCAUAUAAAUCAAUAAUUUUUAUGUUUAUUAUAUGCACUUAUAUGAUUUACAAUGCGAAAGAUUCGGGAUACUUCGGG